UACGAAGGGGGCUAGCGUUGCUCGGAAUCACUGGGCGUAAAGGGUGCGUAGGCGGGUCUUUAAGUCAGGGGGGAAAUCCUGGAGCUCAACUCCAGAACUGCCUUUGAUACUGAAGAUCUUGAGUUCGGGAGAGGUGAGUGGAACUGCGAGUGUAGAGGUGAAAUUCGUAGAUAUUCGCAAGAACACCAGUGGCGCAGGCGGCUCACUGGCCCGGUACUGACGCUGAGGCACGAAAGCGUGGGGAGCAAACAGG
Molecule: ribosomal RNA, 253 nt
Filed under: uncultured bacterium
Lineage: Bacteria
Description: partial 16S ribosomal RNA
Rfam family: Bacterial small subunit ribosomal RNA
Source: RNAcentral